RNAcentral lists this ribosomal RNA (506 nucleotides) under uncultured bacterium. RNAcentral's name for it is "bacterial SSU rRNA". It matches the Rfam family "Bacterial small subunit ribosomal RNA", at positions 355 to 873 of the family's 1533-position model. The record is from RNAcentral.
CAAGGAAUUUUCGGCAAUGGGCGCAAGCCUGACCGAGCAACGCCGCGUGCGGGAUGACGGCCUUCGGGUUGUAAACCGCUUUUGGGGGGACGGACAUCGACGGUACCCUCCGAAUCAGCCCCGGCUAACUCUGUGCCAGCAGCCGCGGUAAGACAGAGGGGGCAAGCGUUGUCCGGAGUUACUGGGCGUAAAGCGCACGCAGGCGGUCACGCAAGUGGGGUGUGAAAGCCGGCAGCUUAACUGCCGGUCGCCAUCUCAGACUGCGCGACUCGAGUGGUGCAGAGGCUAUUCGAAUUGCCGGUGUAGUGGUGAAAUGCGUAGAGAUCGGCAGGAAGACCAAGGGGGAACCCAGGGUAGCCGGGGCACUGACUGACGCUCAGGUGCGAAAGCGUGGGGAGCGAACCGGAUUAGAUACCCGGGUAGUCCACGCCGUAAACGAUGGAUGCUCGGCGUCUGGGGCCAAUCUCGGCCCUGGGCGCCUCAGGUUACCCGUAAGCAUCCCGCCG